UGAGUUUUUAAGAGUCUAGGAUGUGUGUGUGAAGAACAAGCCUCUUAGGGCAGAAUAGAGUCUUGAAAUGGUGAAGAAAGAAUCUGAUGAAACUAGUAUGAACUUAGAUCAGAAACAAAGAGACUUUGAGAGAUUAAGAGAUUAGAGACUAAGAAAGGGAGAGAUUAAGGGAAUCUGAUCAAGAACACACUUUUAUAAUUAUGAAGGAGAUGGGAAAACCCCCAUAC
Molecule: long non-coding RNA, 227 nt
Filed under: Brassica napus (rape)
Lineage: Eukaryota; Viridiplantae; Streptophyta; Magnoliopsida; Brassicales; Brassicaceae
Description: long non-coding RNA (BNAP_LNC017104)
Source: RNAcentral